Molecule: long non-coding RNA, 549 nt
Organism: Podarcis muralis (Common wall lizard)
Lineage: Eukaryota; Metazoa; Chordata; Lepidosauria; Squamata; Lacertidae
Source: RefSeq, a predicted model, not a curated record
GACCUCUCCUUCCCCAGACAACUGCUCUUCCACUUGGCUUCAGGCAUCUCCAGGAUUCCCACCAACCUCCAGCCAUGAAGAUCUUCUGCCUCCUCUCUCUCGCCUUCCUCCUCCUGAUGCUGGUGGCUCCAGAUUUCACCGGAGCUCAACGUCCCACCCAGGAUUGCCAGAACAAUGGGGGCAGCUGCAGAAAAACCUGCAACAAAGGCGAGAAAGAGAUUGGGAAGUGUUCGGGAGACAGGCGUUGCUGCAAGCGCAGCUAAGCAGACCCAUCAUGCACCAUCUCUGACGAAAGGAAGACCACCCCGUUUCUUCUCUGGAGAUGCAGCUGCCUUGACUGCACCUCUGCAGAAAUCUCUUUGCUCACUGCUGCUACUGCUGAAGGCGCUUCUGGGAAGGAUCCAUCCCUGCCCAAUCCUUUCUGCCCGUUUACUCCAAAGCAGGUCCUGCUGUGCUCAGUGAGGCUGGCAUCUUUGUAACUGGGUUUGGAUUGGAUUCGCCUGCUCAUUUGCUUUAGCUUUUCCUUUCAAUAAAUGCAAGCAUUGGAAA